UUCAUCUGGAUGAAUAGUUUUAGCUCCAAAAGCUGUUAGAGAUAUGAACCAAAUGACAGUUAAUGAAAAGAACAGAAACUGAGAGGAAGUGUUCAUCUUAGUAUUAACAAGGAACAGAUAAGUUCAUAAAUUUCAGAGACUUUAAAGUAUUAAUCUAAGAUGAGAGUGCAUGCAUAUAAUUAUAUUAAUGUGCCAACUUUUAAGUUUAUUUUUAUCAUAUAGAGUACUAG
Molecule: long non-coding RNA, 230 nt
Filed under: Trifolium pratense (red clover)
Lineage: Eukaryota; Viridiplantae; Streptophyta; Magnoliopsida; Fabales; Fabaceae
Description: long non-coding RNA (TPRA_LNC009370)
Source: RNAcentral